This 1393-nucleotide ribosomal RNA is filed under the name Limosilactobacillus fermentum. Its description in RNAcentral is "bacterial SSU rRNA". It matches the Rfam family "Bacterial small subunit ribosomal RNA", at positions 1 to 1357 of the family's 1533-position model. The record is from RNAcentral. Lineage: Bacteria; Bacillati; Bacillota; Bacilli; Lactobacillales; Lactobacillaceae.
UAGAGUUUGAUCNUGGCUCAGGAUGAACGCCGGCGGUGUGCCUAAUACAUGCAAGUCGAACGCGUUGGCCCAAUUGAUUGAUGGUGCUUGCACCUGAUUGAUUUUGGUCGCCAACGAGUGGCGGACGGGUGAGUAACACGUAGGUAACCUGCCCAGAAGCGGGGGACAACAUUUGGAAACAGAUGCUAAUACCGCAUAACANCGUUGUUCGCAUGAACAACGCUUAAAAGAUGGCUUCUCGCUAUCACUUCUGGAUGGACCUGCGGUGCAUUAGCUUGUUGGUGGGGUAANGGCCUACCAAGGCGAUGAUGCAUAGCCGAGUUGAGAGACUGAUCGGCCACAAUGGGACUGAGACACGGCCCAUACUCCUACGGGAGGCAGCAGUAGGGAAUCUUCCACAAUGGGCGCAAGCCUGAUGGAGCAACACCGCGUGAGUGAAGAAGGGUUUCGGCUCGUAAAGCUCUGUUGUUAAAGAAGAACACGUAUGAGAGUAACUGUUCAUACGUUGACGGUAUUUAACCAGAAAGUCACGGCUAACUACGUGCCAGCAGCCGCGGUAAUACGUAGGUGGCAAGCGUUAUCCGGAUUUAUUGGGCGUAAAGAGAGUGCAGGCGGUUUUCUAAGUCUGAUGUGAAAGCCUUCGGCUUAACCGGAGAAGUGCAUCGGAAACUGGAUAACUUGAGUGCAGAAGAGGGUAGUGGAACUCCAUGUGUAGCGGUGGAAUGCGUAGAUAUAUGGAAGAACACCAGUGGCGAAGGCGGCUACCUGGUCUGCAACUGACGCUGAGACUCGAAAGCAUGGGUAGCGAACAGGAUUAGAUACCCUGGUAGUCCAUGCCGUAAACGAUGAGUGCUAGGUGUUGGAGGGUUUCCGCCCUUCAGUGCCGGAGCUAACGCAUUAAGCACUCCGCCUGGGGAGUACGACCGCAAGGUUGAAACUCAAAGGAAUUGACGGGGGCCCGCACAAGCGGUGGAGCAUGUGGUUUAAUUCGAAGCUACGCGAAGAACCUUACCAGGUCUUGACAUCUUGCGCCAACCCUAGAGAUAGGGCGUUUCCUUCGGGAACGCAAUGACAGGUGGUGCAUGGUCGUCGUCAGCUCGUGUCGUGAGAUGUUGGGUUAAGUCCCGCAACGAGCGCAACCCUUGUUACUAGUUGCCAGCAUUAAGUUGGGCACUCUAGUGAGACUGCCGGUGACAAACCGGAGGAAGGUGGGGACGACGUCAGAUCAUCAUGCCCCUUAUGACCUGGGCUACACACGUGCUACAAUGGACGGUACAACGAGUCGCGAACUCGCGAGGGCAAGCAAAUCUCUUAAAACCGUUCUCAGUUCGGACUGCAGGCUGCAACUCGCCUGCACGAAGUCGGAAUCGCUAGUAAUCGCGGAUCAGCAUGC